GUAGGGAAUAUUGCGCAAUGGACGAAAGUCUGACGCAGCGACGCCGCGUGAGUGAUGAAGGCCUUAGGGUCGUAAAGCUCUGUUGAAUGGGAAGAAAAAAAUGACGGUACCAUUCGAGGAAGGACCGGCUAACUUCGUGCCAGCAGCCGCGGUAAUACGAGGGGUCCUAGCGUUGUUCGGAAUCAUUGGGCGUAAAGGGUGUGUAGGUGGCCAUGUAAGUCAGGUGUGAAAGCGCCGGGCUCAACCCGGGAAGUGCACUUGAUACUGCGUGGCUUGAGUACCGAAGAGGGUAGUGGAAUUCCAGGUGUAGUGGUGAAAUACGUAGAUAUCUGGAGGAACACCGGUGGCGAAGGCGGCUACCUGGUCGAGUACUGACACUGAGACACGAAAGCAUGGGGAUCAAACAGGAUUAGAUACCCGAGUAGUCC
RNAcentral lists this ribosomal RNA (428 nucleotides) under uncultured bacterium. RNAcentral's name for it is "partial 16S ribosomal RNA". It matches the Rfam family "Bacterial small subunit ribosomal RNA", at positions 354 to 796 of the family's 1533-position model. The record is from RNAcentral.